RNAcentral lists this ribosomal RNA (346 nucleotides) under uncultured bacterium. RNAcentral's name for it is "partial 16S ribosomal RNA". It matches the Rfam family "Bacterial small subunit ribosomal RNA", at positions 338 to 681 of the family's 1533-position model. The record is from RNAcentral.
CCUACGGGUGGCUGCAGUGAGGAAUAAUGGUCAAUGGACGAGAGUCUGAACCAGCCAAGUAGCGUGAAGGAUGACUGCCCUAUGGGUUGUAAACUUCUGUUAUAAAGGAAUAAAACGAGGCACGUGUGCCUUAUUGCAUGGACGUUAUGAAUAAGGAGCGGCUAACUCCGUGCCAGCAGCCGCGGUAAUACGGAGGAUCCGAGCGUUCUCCGGCUUUCUGGGGUGGAACGGGAGCGUAGAGGGGUUGCUAAGUCAGUGGUGAAAGUUUGCGGCUCAACCGUAAAAGUGCACUUGAUACUGGCAGUCUUGCUUACAGUUGCGGUAGGCGUCAUUCGUGUUGUAGCUG